CCUACGGGAGGCAGCAGUAGGGAAUCUUCCACAAUGGGCGAAAGCCUGAUGGAGCAACGCCGCGUGGGUGAAGAAGUUCUUCGGAUCGUAAAACCCUGUUGUUAGAGAAGAAAGUGCGUGAGAGUAACUGUUCACGUUUCGACGGUAUCUAACCAGCAAGCCACGGCUAACUACGUGCCAGCAGCCGCGGUAAUACGUAGGUGGCAAGCGUGAUCCGGAUUUAUUGGGCGUAAAGGGAACGCAGGCGGUCUUUUAAGUCUGAGGUGAAAGCCUUCGGCUUAACCGGAGUAGUGCAUUGGAAACUGGGAGACUGGAGUGCAGAAGAGGAGAGUGGAACUCCAAGUGUAGCGGUGAAAUGCGUAGAUAUAUGGAAGAACACCAGUGGCGAAAGCGGCUCUCUGGUCUGUAACUGACGCUGAGGUUCGAAAGCGUGGGUAGCAAACAGGAUUAGAUACCCUUGUAGUC
This 465-nucleotide ribosomal RNA is filed under the name uncultured bacterium. RNAcentral describes it as "partial 16S ribosomal RNA". It matches the Rfam family "Bacterial small subunit ribosomal RNA", at positions 338 to 795 of the family's 1533-position model. The record is from RNAcentral.